AGAGUUUGAUCAUGGCUCAGAGCGAACGUUUGCGGCGGGCCUAACACAUGCAAGUCGAACGGGCUAGCAAUAGUCAGUGGCGCACGGGUGCGUAACACGUGGGUAAUCAACCCUUCAGCUUGGGAUAACGCCUUGAAAGGGGCGCUAAUACCGAAUACGGCGCGAGAGACUUCGGUCUUUCACGAGAAAGGUUCGCAAGGACCACUGAAGGACGAGCCUGCGGCCCAUCAGCUAGUUGGUGAGGUAAGAGCUCACCAAGGCGAAGACGGGUAGCUGGUCUGAGAGGAUGAUCAGCCACACUGGAACUGAGACACGGUCCAGACUCCUACGGGAGGCAGCAGUGGGGAAUAUUGCGCAAUGGGCGAAAGCCUGACGCAGCCACGCCGCGUGAGCGAUGAAGGCCUUCGGGUCGUAAAGCUCCGUGGGGAGAGACGAAGAAAGCCCGUGAAGAGCGGGCCUUGACGGUAUCUCCUUAGCAAGCACCGGCUAACUCCGUGCCAGCAGCCGCGGUAAUACGGAGGGUGCAAACGUUGCUCGGAAUCAUUGGGCGUAAAGCGCACGUAGGCGGCUAGAUAAGUCGGGUGUGAAAGCCCUGGGCUCAACCCAGGAAGUGCAUUCGAAACUGUCUAGCUUGAAUCUCGGAGGGGGUCAGAGAAUUCCCGGUGUAGAGGUGAAAUUCGUAGAUAUCGGGAGGAAUACCAGUGGCGAAGGCGCUGACCUGGACGAAGAUUGACGCUGAGGUGCGAAAGCGCGGGGAGCAAACAGGAUUAGAUACCCUAGUAGUCC
This 786-nucleotide ribosomal RNA is filed under the name uncultured bacterium. RNAcentral's name for it is "bacterial SSU rRNA". It matches the Rfam family "Bacterial small subunit ribosomal RNA", at positions 8 to 796 of the family's 1533-position model. The record is from RNAcentral.